CUGGGCGUAGACCCGAAACCAGGUGAUCUAUCCAUGGCCAGGAUGAAGGUGCGGUAACACGUACUGGAGGUCCGAACCCACUAACGUUGAAAAGUUAGGGGAUGAGCUGUGGAUAGGGGUGAAAGGCUAAACAAACCUGGAAAUAGCUGGUUCUCUCCGAAAACUAUUUAGGUAGUGCCUCGUGUCUCACCUUCGGGGGUAGAGCACUGUCAUGGUUGGGGGGUCUAUUGCAGAUUACCCCGCCAUAGCAAACUCCGAAUACCGAAGAGUGCAAUCACGGGAGACAGACAUCGGGUGCUAACGUCCGGUGUCAAGAGGGAAACAACCCAGACCGCCAGCUAAGGUCCCCAAAUAUGGCUAAGUGGGAAACGAAGUGGGAAGGCUAAAACAGUCAGGAGGUUGGCUUAGAAGCAGCCACCCUUUAAAGAAAGCGUAAUAGCUCACUGAUCGAGUCGUCCUGCGCGGAAGAUGUAACGGGGCUAAGCCAUAUACCGAAGCUGCGGAUGCGAGCUAGUCUCGCAUGGUAGGAGAGCGUUCCGUAAGCCUGCGAAGGUGCGUUGAAAAGCGUGCUGGAGGUAUCGGAAGUGCGAAUGCUGACAUGAGUAGCGAUAAAGGGGGUGAAAGGCCCCCUCGCCGUAAGCCCAAGGUUUCCUACGCAACGUUCAUCGGCGUAGGGUGAGUCGGCCCCUAAGGCGAGGCAGAAAUGCGUAGCUGAUGGGAAGCAGGUCAAUAUUCCUGCACCGUCGUUAGAUGCGAUGGGGGGACGGAUCGCGGAAGGUUGUCCGGGUGUUGGAAGUCCCGGUCGCUGCAUUGGAGAAGGCGCUUAGGCAAAUCCGGGCGCAGGAUUCAAGGGUGUGGCGCGAGCUCCUUCGGGAGCGAAGCAAUUGGAAGUGGUUCCAAGAAAAGCCUCUAAGCUUCAGUCUAACGAUGACCGUACCGCAAACCGACACAGGUGGGCGAGAUGAGUAUUCUAAGGCGCUUGAGAGAACUCGGGAGAAGGAACUCGGCAAAUUGGUACCGUAACUUCGGGAUAAGGUACGCCCUGGUAGCUUGACUGGCCUGCGCCAGAAGGGUGAAGGGGUUGCAAUAAACUGGUGGCUGCGACUGUUUAAUAAAAACACAGCACUCUGCAAACACGAAAGUGGACGUAUAGGGUGUGACGCCUGCCCGGUGCCGGAAGAUUAAAUGAUGGGGUGCAAGCUCUUGAUUGAAGUCCCGGUAAACGGCGGCCGUAACUAUAACGGUCCUAAGGUAGCGAAAUUCCUUGUCGGGUAAGUUCCGACCUGCACGAAUGGCGUAACGAUGGCCACACUGUCUCCUCCCGAGACUCAGCGAAGUUGAAGUGUUUGUGAUGAUGCAAUCUACCCGCGGCUAGACGGAAAGACCCCAUGAACCUUUACUGUAGCUUUGCAUUGGACUUUGAACCGAUCUGUGUAGGAUAGGUGGGAGGCUAUGAAACCGGAAUGCUAGUUUCGGUGGAGCCGUCCUUGAAAUACCACCCUGGUUUGUUUGAGGUUCUAACCUUGGCCCGUGAUCCGGGUCGGGGACAGUGCAUGGUAGGCAGUUUGACUGGGGCGGUCUCCUCCCAAAGCGUAACGGAGGAGUACGAAGGUACGCUAGGUACGGUCGGAAAUCGUGCUGAUAGUGCAAUGGCAUAAGCGUGCUUAACUGCGAGACCGACAAGUCGAGCAGGUGCGAAAGCAGGUCAUAGUGAUCCGGUGGUUCUGUAUGGAAGGGCCAUCGCUCAACGGAUAAAAGGUACUCUGGGGAUAACAGGCUGAUACCGCCCAAGAGUUCAUAUCGACGGCGGUGUUUGGCACCUCGAUGUCGGCUCAUCUCAUCCUGGGGCUGUAGCCGGUCCCAAGGGUAUGGCUGUUCGCCAUUUAAAGAGGUACGUGAGCUGGGUUUAAAACGUCGUGAGACAGUUUGGUCCCUAUCUGCCGUGGGCGUUGGAAGUUUGAAGGGGGCUGCUCCUAGUACGAGAGGACCGGAGUGGACGAACCUCUGGUGUACCGGUUGUGACGCCAGUCGCAUCGCCGGGUAGCUAUGUUCGGAAGAGAUAACCGCUGAAAGCAUCUAAGCGGGAAACUCGCCUUAAGAUGAGACUUCCCCGGGGACUUGAUCCCCUUGAAGGGUCGUUCGAGACCAGGACGUUGAUAGGUCGGGUGUGUAAGCGCAGUAAUGCGUUCAGCUAACCGAUACUAAUUGCCCGUACGGCUUGAUCCU
RNAcentral lists this ribosomal RNA (2226 nucleotides) under Burkholderia mallei 2002721280. RNAcentral describes it as "bacterial LSU rRNA". It matches the Rfam family "Bacterial large subunit ribosomal RNA", at positions 703 to 2925 of the family's 2925-position model. The record is from RNAcentral. Lineage: Bacteria; Pseudomonadati; Pseudomonadota; Betaproteobacteria; Burkholderiales; Burkholderiaceae.